RNAcentral lists this unclassified non-coding RNA (2513 nucleotides) under Octopus sinensis (East Asian common octopus). RNAcentral's name for it is "crystallin J1A, transcript variant X1". The record is from RNAcentral. Lineage: Eukaryota; Metazoa; Mollusca; Cephalopoda; Octopoda; Octopodidae.
UACUUCCCUUGUUCCAUGAAAGUUCUGGGUAAGUCAUCUCCCCUGUUACAAUCAGUAAGACUUGUGCUUAGUCCGGAAAGCAUGGCAACUGUGGCCGAACGUCGAAUUGGAGCCGUCAUCGGUUCUCUUGUUGCUGAUGCUGCUGUGCAACCAAUUCAUUGGAACUACAACAAAGAGAAGUUGACUGCUUUACUGAGUACAAGAAGUGAUUGGGAGUUCUGGGAACCAUCACAGAAUCCAUUCUAUGUGCAAAAGACUGGCAAGCAAACCUGUUAUGGAGACCAAAAUUUUGUUGUUUUGAAGUCCCUUGUGGAAAAUUCAGGAAUCAAUUCAGAUCAUUUGAAGAAAUCUCUCUAUGAAUAUUUUGGUGCCGGUACUACUUAUGACAACCCAAUUUGGUCAGGUGGUCCGAAAACCAUACCAAUUACUGGCUGCUGGAGGAAUGGUUCCAUUCGAGAUUUCCUUAAGAAUUACGAAGAGAAGAAGCAAGAAACAGGUUCUGAAUCUGAUGAACAAGUAGACUGCGUUCUAAGAAUUAUUCCUGUCGCUGCUCUCUAUGCCGGCCAUCCUCAACUUCUUGACAAAGUCGAAGAAGUCGUAAGACUCACCCAAAACAAUGAUGUUGCUGUGGCUUUUGGAUUGUUGGCAGCUCGAUUGUUGGAGAUUUAUAUCCUGAAUGGUCCAACAGCUGAUGCCAUUGGACAAUUAAGGGCUAAACUGACUGACCCAAAAAGGAGCUCUCCAAGUGACCUUGACACUGCCUUAGUGUCUCAUCUCCAGAAAGUGUUGCAAGUCAAAGACAAACCUCAUGUUGAUGUGGCUUGUAAUGUCUUCAAGAACAACUGACAUUUGCCUUAUGCUUUCCAAGCCGCCAUACAUGGGUUGCUGUGUAGCCAUGACUUUGUGAGUGGCGUGAAGACCACAAUGGAAGCCGGUGGUUGUAAUGCCUCAAGAGCAGGGAUCAUCGGUGCUUGCAUGGCAGCACAGUAUGGCGUGGAAAGCAUUCCUGAGAGCUGGAGGCAGAAAACCCUUCUUAUUGAAGAGAUCAAGAGCCUUGCAGCAAAACUGGUUGCUGUUGAAAUCUAAGUAUAUAUAGACACAUCUCUUUGAUGAACUAAACAGCCAGUAUUAUUGAUCGGACACAUCCAACACCAUUCCUAUUACUCUCUGAAUCAUGACAGCCUUGUGGAAACCUUGGAUAGCAAGACUUGAAGCCUUUUGCAGAUGGAACAAUAGGAAUGUUGUUUGAUAGACACCAAUGCUACUGGUACAUUAAAACAACAACAUCAAAGGAAAUAGGUGUAUAUGGUUUCAAUUUUGAUAUUUCAUUAUUAUUAUUAUUAUUAUUUCCAACAUUCUUUUCAAAGAACCUGUGAGAAUCUUGAUGAAACCUGAAUAAAAAGGAAAACAAGAUUUGAUUUCUUUCCUUUUGCAAACUAUGUUGGAAAUGACAAAAUUGAUUCCUAUAUAGCUGGUGUGCUAAAAAUUAUUAUAAUAAUGAUAUUACUUGGUUUUUUAUUGAAAUAUCAGGUUCAUCUCUCCAUUUCGCCUUCUUUUGUUACCCCUCAAUUUCUUUUAGGACUGUAAUUUCCAAAGAUUAGAAUACUAUUUUUUUUUUCUCACAUAUUCAGUUUGAAAUUUCAAAUUUAGAAAACUGCCAUGUUUCCAUAAAUUAAAAUCAAGAGGGGAAAAUUUGAAUCGCAAAUUCUUUUUGAAUGUGUAAUUGAAAUCUGAACUUGUAUUUGGAUUUUUUUUUAAAAUACCAAAAAAUCAAAUUUGGCCAUCAAAAUCCUAUUUUGGAAUUUUAGAGGAUUAUCCAAUUUUGGUUUUUAAAAUGGUUUUUUCAUUUUAUUUAACUUGAAAUUUUAAGCUGUAAUCUAAGAAACUAAAAAUUAAAUCUGAAGUUAUUAAAAAAAAAUUAACUUUUUUUUUUUAAAUUUCAGUUUUAAAAAUUCAACCAAUUUUGAUCUAUUAAAUUAAAAACCAGAACCCCUAAUUUCAUAGUUAAUUAUUAGCUCAAGAGGUAUCUUGCUGUUCAGUACUAUAAUUAUUCUGACAUACUUCAAAGAAUUUAACCAAUUAUGUUAUAACUAAUUACUAUUUUCAUAUAUAAUAUUAUGUCAAUGAUAUUUACAUAUAUGCUCAGGUUGACUUUCUGCCUAAACUCCAACUUGAACUGCUGCUUAAAAUGCUAUAGCUGCCUAAAUGAGGAUUGGCUUAUUUCAAUCGAGCUGGUAUGUGUAUGAUAGAAUAAAGUAUAGAUAUGCAAACAACUGGUAUCAUGCUGGAUUAAGACAUUUAUUAUUUUAAUGCAACUUGGAUGGAGAUAUACAUCAUUAUAUGUCUAACCAGAAGUAAAAAAUACUCAAUACAUGUUGUAGAGUUUAUACAUUCUUUCAUCCGAAGCUAAUUAUAAGUUUUAUAAUAACAAAGAAUAAUUUUUCAAAAUAUAGAAAGAGAAAAUUAAUCAUGAAAUGUAAUAUUUCUGAAUAAAAAAGUGAUAUUACUACAAU